AAAAAGCUUUCUUUCAAUCGUGUUGUCUACAAACGGGAUGUACCGAAACAAAUCAGAACUACCAUAUCUCUUGGUUUCUUAUUAAAAAAAAGUCUCCAAAUGAAAUAUCUGUCCAGGCUGCGUCCAAAAAAAAUUCCUUUCAAUCGUGCAGAUGAGAGAAACUCACGCAUCCAUAUAAGACCUUCCCCACGACCUGAAAGGAUCAUUGUCCUCUAGAUUUUAGAGUACAACUUCUGCAUCAUCUUCCUCCCACAUCGUCUUCCUCCAGCGACCAAAACUUCGACUCCAGAAUUAUCUUCCUCCAGCAAACACAAGAUAGUUCUGUCGAGCAAAUGGGAAUUGUCUUCCUCCAGCGGCCACAAGAUAGUUCCGUCAAGCAAACGGUCUACAACAAGUAAGUUCCAUCUGCACGAAUUAUAGAUCAUACCUAUUAAUGGAUCAAUAAUGGUUCAAUUAUACUCUAGGCAGUCCUGAUCUAAAACAUUUGCCAUUACCUCCGAAAUACUAUACAAGUCCAGAAUCAUGCUACAACUAUAACAUGUCCAAGUGGGAUUACUUGCUGUGAUAUAGAGAAGCAUAGAUGGUGCAUAAGGUGUUGUCCAUAUUAUAGAUUAUACCUAUUAUUAUAGAUCAGAUCUAUUAAUGGAUCAAUAAUACGUAAUUCAUACUGUAGGUAGUGCUAAUAUAAAAAGGUUUCACAUGUUAGCUCACAAGUUACAUCACGUACAAACAGAUACAGAGAAACAUACAUAGAUGGUUUCCAUAUUUGAUCAACCUCAGAUGUCAUAGUGGGCUUCUGUCGUCAUGGCAUCAGCUCCAUCUGAAACAUAAAUUAAGACGAAUUGUCAAUAAAAUUGUGUUGAUUCAUCUACUUUUAUUUCAUAGUCUUCUACAUAAGGUUAAUGCCAUGGCUGUUAUACUAUAGAAGCUUACAGAAAUAAAUGGGAUUGCUUGCAUGUCAUUAUAUUACUUACUUUACUAAUCAACACUCAGAUGUCAUAGUGGGCUUCUGUCGUCAUGGCAUCAGCUCCAUCUGAAACAUAAAUUAAGACGAAUUGUCAAUAAAAUUGUGUUGAUUCAUCUACUUUUAUUUCAUAGUCUUCUACAUAAGGUUAAUGCCAUGGCUGUUAUACUAUAGAAGCUUACAGAAAUAAAUGGGAUUGCUUGCAUGUCAUUAUAUUACUUACUUUACUAAUCAACAUUCUGUUCUUAUAUUUAAAGGGCCUCAAAGAUUAUGGCAUAUACAACGUUGAAUGCAUUGACUACACGAAACGAGACAUGGACAAUCAAAGUCAAAGUUUUAAGACUUUGGGACGUGAUUAACUUAUCAACUAAUGAGCUCAUUAGCACUGAUAUGAUUUUAUUGGACAAAAAGGUGCAAGUAUUACAUAUAUAAUGUCUCUUCAAUUUAUCCUUUCCAAAGUUUGCUGAUCUUUUCUUUCUAUGUAGGGCCAUGCGAUCCAUGCUUCUAUUGGGAGCAAACUGGUCAAUAAAUUUAAAUCAAAAAUUAAAGAGGACUUCAUAUACAUAAUUAAGACCUUCAAAGUCUCGGAGUAUGAAAAAUACCGACCAUUGAAGAACAAUCUCAAAAUCAGUUUUGUUUAUGAUACAACAGUGAAGGAAGUGGAUGAAGGAAAAUCCAAGUUUUUGGAUCACAACUUCGAUUGGAUUGGAUUGCUUACUGCAAUGAAACCAAUAGAGCAAGUACAAAAAAAUAAAGGGACGGGCAUGGCGCAAACUUCAAACAUCCGUGAGAUUGAAAUCCUUUUACUAGAGUAAGUGAUUAUAUUACUAUAGAUUUUUUAAAAUUGCAUAGAUGAUUUUAUAUCACUUUUUCAUGAUUAAAUCCAUGCAGAGAUGAAACGAUCCGGAUCACGCUAUGGGGGAUAUUUUAGCAAAUACGGUGAAUGAAAGUCUUUUGCACAAACAAAUAAUAGUGAUUGUCACGUCAAAUUUGGUCAGAAAAUUCAGUGUUGAGAACUACAAUCUUUUUGUGAAAACUUAAAUCCAAAUUACUGACAAUUUGUUAC
RNAcentral lists this long non-coding RNA (2030 nucleotides) under Triticum aestivum (bread wheat). RNAcentral describes it as "long non-coding RNA (TAES_LNC000543)". The record is from RNAcentral. Lineage: Eukaryota; Viridiplantae; Streptophyta; Magnoliopsida; Poales; Poaceae.